RNAcentral lists this ribosomal RNA (1346 nucleotides) under uncultured bacterium. RNAcentral describes it as "partial 16S ribosomal RNA". It matches the Rfam family "Bacterial small subunit ribosomal RNA", at positions 28 to 1381 of the family's 1533-position model. The record is from RNAcentral.
GACGAACGCUGGCGGCGUGCUUAACACAUGCAAGUCGAACGGAAAGGCCCUGCUUUUGUGGGGUGCUCGAGUAGCGAACGGGUGAGUAACACGUGAGUAACCUGCCCUUGACUUUGGGAUAACUUCAGGAAACUGGGGCUAAUACCGGAUAGGAGCUCCUGCUGCAUGGUGGGGGUUGGAAAGUUUCGGCGGUUGGGGAUGGACUCGCGGCUUAUCAGCUUGUUGGUGGGGUAGUGGCUUACCAAGGCUUUGACGGGUAGCCGGCCUGAGAGGGUGACCGGCCACAUUGGGACUGAGAUACGGCCCAGACUCCUACGGGAGGCAGCAGUGGGGAAUAUUGCACAAUGGGCGGAAGCCUGAUGCAGCAACGCCGCGUGCGGGAUGACGGCCUUCGGGUUGUAAACCGCUUUCGCCUGUGACGAAGCGUGAGUGACGGUAAUGGGUAAAGAAGCACCGGCUAACUACGUGCCAGCAGCCGCGGUGAUACGUAGGGUGCGAGCGUUGUCCGGAUUUAUUGGGCGUAAAGGGCUCGUAGGUGGUUGAUCGCGUCGGAAGUGUAAUCUUGGGGCUUAACCCUGAGCGUGCUUUCGAUACGGGUUGACUUGAGGAAGGUAGGGGAGAAUGGAAUUCCUGGUGGAGCGGUGGAAUGCGCAGAUAUCAGGAGGAACACCAGUGGCGAAGGCGGUUCUCUGGGCCUUUCCUGACGCUGAGGAGCGAAAGCGUGGGGAGCGAACAGGCUUAGAUACCCUGGUAGUCCACGCUGUAAACGGUGGGUACUAGGUGUGGGGUCCAUUCCACGGGUUCCGUGCCGUAGCUAACGCUUUAAGUACCCCGCCUGGGGAGUACGGCCGCAAGGCUAAAACUCAAAGGAAUUGACGGGGCCCCGCACAAGCGGCGGAGCAUGCGGAUUAAUUCGAUGCAACGCGUAGAACCUUACCUGGGUUUGACAUGGAUCGGGAGUGCUCAGAGAUGGGUGUGCCUCUUUUGGGGUCGGUUCACAGGUGGUGCAUGGCUGUCGUCAGCUCGUGUCGUGAGAUGUUGGGUUAAGUCCCGCAACGAGCGCAACCCUUGUUCACUGUUGCCAGCACGUUAUGGUGGGGACUCAGUGGAGACCGCCGGGGUCAACUCGGAGGAAGGUGGGGAUGACGUCAAGUCAUCAUGCCCCUUAUGUCCAGGGCUUCACGCAUGCUACAAUGGCUGGUACAGAGAGUGGCGAGCCUGUGAGGGUGAGCGAAUCUCGGAAAGCCGGUCUCAGUUCGGAUUGGGGUCUGCAACUCGACCUCAUGAAGUCGGAGUCGCUAGUAAUCGCAGAUCAGCAACGCUGCGGUGAAUACGUUCCCGGGGCU